UUUAUGGAGAGUUUGAUCCUGGCUCAGGACGAACGCUGGCGGCGUGCCUAAUACAUGCAAGUCGAGCGGACCUUAUAAGAGCUUGCUCUUAAGAGGUUAGCGGCGGACGGGUGAGUAACACGUGGGCAACCUGCCCUGUAGACUGGGAUAACUUCGGGAAACCGGAGCUAAUACCGGAUAAUCAAUGACACCACAUGGUGUCAUUGUAAAAGUUGGGAUACUAACACUACAGGAUGGGCCCGCGGCGCAUUAGCUAGUUGGUGAGGUAACGGCUCACCAAGGCGACGAUGCGUAGCCGACCUGAGAGGGUGA
RNAcentral lists this ribosomal RNA (312 nucleotides) under Alkalihalobacterium chitinilyticum. RNAcentral's name for it is "bacterial SSU rRNA". It matches the Rfam family "Bacterial small subunit ribosomal RNA", at positions 1 to 303 of the family's 1533-position model. The record is from RNAcentral. Lineage: Bacteria; Bacillati; Bacillota; Bacilli; Caryophanales; Bacillaceae.